Molecule: ribosomal RNA, 428 nt
Filed under: bacterium
Lineage: Bacteria
Description: partial 16S ribosomal RNA
Rfam family: Bacterial small subunit ribosomal RNA
Source: RNAcentral
UAGGGAAUCUUCGGCAAUGGGGGCAACCCUGACCGAGCAACGCCGCGUGAGUGAAGAAGGUUUUCGGAUCGUAAAGCUCUGUUGUAAGAGAAGAACGUGUGUGAGAGUGGAAAGUUCACACAGUGACGGUAACUUACCAGAAAGGGACGGCUAACUACGUGCCAGCAGCCGCGGUAAUACGUAGGUCCCGAGCGUUGUCCGGAUUUAUUGGGCGUAAAGCGAGCGCAGGCGGUUUAAUAAGUCUGAAGUUAAAGGCAGUGGCUUAACCAUUGUUCGCUUUGGAAACUGUUAAACUUGAGUGCAGAAGGGGAGAGUGGAAUUCCAUGUGUAGCGGUGAAAUGCGUAGAUAUAUGGAGGAACACCGGUGCGAAAGCGGCUCUCUGGUCUGUAACUGACGCUGAGGCUCGAAAGCGUGGGGAGCAAUCAGG